RNAcentral lists this ribosomal RNA (222 nucleotides) under uncultured Pasteurellales bacterium. Its description in RNAcentral is "partial 16S ribosomal RNA". It matches the Rfam family "Bacterial small subunit ribosomal RNA", at positions 109 to 334 of the family's 1533-position model. The record is from RNAcentral. Lineage: Bacteria; Pseudomonadati; Pseudomonadota; Gammaproteobacteria; Pasteurellales.
AGUAAUGCUUGGGAAUCUGGCUUAUGGAGGGGGAUAACUACGGGAAACUGUAGCUAAUACCGCGUAGUAUCGGAAGAUGAAAGUGCGGGACCGCAAGGCCGCAUGCCAUGAGAUGAGCCCAAGUGGGAUUAGGUAGUUGGUGGGGUAAAGGCCUACCAAGCCUGCGAUCUCUAGCUGGUCUGAGAGGAUGGCCAGCCACACUGGGACUGAGACACGGUCCAG